GCAGAAUGCAAGGUGACAGCCACUGAGCAGAGCGCUGCGGAAAAAGGGUAGGAGAAAAGUCAGUCAGCCUGGAAAGACAAUCCAAAGAUUAAGGAUCUGACCAAAACUGCUGAAGACCAGAAGAAUGAAAUAGAA
Stylophora pistillata is the source of this 135-nucleotide long non-coding RNA. The record is from RefSeq and is a predicted model, not a curated record. Lineage: Eukaryota; Metazoa; Cnidaria; Anthozoa; Scleractinia; Pocilloporidae.